UUUUCAUUGCGUUUUUUUUUCAUUGCGUUUUAAUUUCAUUAGCCUGAAUGUUUGACGCUGCUGGUCCUCUCACUCCCAUGAGAAUGAAGAUCAAAAGAAAAAUGAACUUCGGCAGAGUUUUUUAUCUGUACUUCUCAGUUAUGAUCGGUGCGUUUGGUGCAGAGACAGAUACCAUUGAGACAGUGUCAGUGAACGUGGGAGAGUCAGUCACCCUACACACUGAUAUUAGAGCAAUUCAAAGAAAUGAUCACAUAACGUGGUUGUAUGGAUCUGACAGUCCAGGCACUCGUAUUGCUGAAAUCAUUAAGUGGUCUUAUAUGUUUUCGAUAUAUGUGUGUCACAAAGAGCAAUUCGGAGACCAGCUCCGACUCGACCAUCAAACUGGAUCUCUGACCAUUGAGAACAUCAGUGCAGAACACUCUGGACUUUAUAAAUCAGUCAUCAUCAACAACCAAAAGAAAUCAUAUAAGAUGUUCAAUGUUAAAG
Long non-coding RNA from Paramisgurnus dabryanus, 486 nucleotides. RefSeq lists it as uncharacterized. The record is from RefSeq and is a predicted model, not a curated record. NCBI's taxonomy places the organism in Eukaryota, Metazoa, Chordata, Actinopteri, Cypriniformes, Cobitidae.